CUGCGGGAAUUGUAAUUUGAAGGUUUCGUGGUCUGAGUCGGCCGCGCCCAAGUCCAUUGGAACAUGGCGCCUGGGAGGGUGAGAGCCCCGUAUGGCGCACGCCGACUCUUUGUACACCGCGGCUCCGACGAGUCGAGUUGUUUGGGAAUGCAGCUCUAAGUGGGUGGUAAAUUCCAUCUAAAGCUAAAUAUUGGCGAGAGACCGAUAGCGAACAAGUACAGUGAUGGAAAGAUGAAAAGCACUUUGAAAAGAGAGUGAAACAGCACGUGAAAUUGUUGAAAGGGAAGGGCUUGCAAGCAGACACGGUUUUACCGGGCCAGCGUCGAAAAGGGGGGAGGAACAAGAACUCGAGAAUGUGGCGCGCACCUUCGGGCGCGCGUGUUAUAGCUCGUGUUGACGCCUCCAUCCCUUUUCGAGGCCUGCGAUUCUAGGACGCUGGCGUAAUGGUUGCAAGCCGCCCGUCUUG
RNAcentral lists this ribosomal RNA (466 nucleotides) under Clavispora lusitaniae. RNAcentral describes it as "eukaryotic LSU rRNA". It matches the Rfam family "Eukaryotic large subunit ribosomal RNA", at positions 134 to 656 of the family's 3401-position model. The record is from RNAcentral. Lineage: Eukaryota; Fungi; Ascomycota; Pichiomycetes; Serinales; Metschnikowiaceae.